This 690-nucleotide unclassified non-coding RNA is filed under the name Hevea brasiliensis (rubber tree). The record is from RNAcentral. Lineage: Eukaryota; Viridiplantae; Streptophyta; Magnoliopsida; Malpighiales; Euphorbiaceae.
GGAACUGGUAAUAAUAUUAACUGUACUAGUGAACUCCUUUUAAGGAGAAGGAAUUAUCUGUGAAUACAUUAUUUUGUUGAUUGUUGGUAUUGCCUGAACUUGAAUUUAUCAGUGAUUCUCUCAUUUAUCAAUGAUUCUCUAAUGUUAGACUGAGUUUACUUGCUAAAUGCCAAAAAAUGAAUAUAGAAAAAGAGAAUAUUGGCCUUUCAUUUCUUGCCUUCCAAAUUUUCUGGUCUGUAUCUUGUAAUUGGUGUCUGUUUUGGGGUUUUUGUCAACUGAUAUAGUGCAGAUUCAUGUCUGACUGAGGUGGACAAUACUCGAAUAGUUGAUAGAUUUUAGGAUUUAGUUUUAAUAAAGAAAGCGGAAGUGAGAUUUAUAAACAUAUAGAAAGGUUGGAACUGGAAGGACAGAUUUGUGCAAGGAUAAUUCAGAGUUGUAAUGAUGUAGAGUUUGAAUUGAAACAUGGCUAGAAAAGAAGUUGUAAUUAAGGAUUACGAACGGUGCCAAGGUAUUUCAGUUCAAUAGUAGCUUAAGAAGAAAUUAAAUAUGGGGGCAAAGAAGAAGAGAUUGAGAAGGAGGGGGAGAGAGAGGACAAAAUUUCUGACAUAUAAUUGGGGUUUAUAAAUUGAUUGGGCUUAAUUUAAUUGGGUUUGAAUAUAAAAGUAGGGUUGGAACUGGAAGGACAGAUUU